Molecule: ribosomal RNA, 1626 nt
Filed under: Triticum aestivum (bread wheat)
Lineage: Eukaryota; Viridiplantae; Streptophyta; Magnoliopsida; Poales; Poaceae
Description: partial small subunit ribosomal RNA
Source: RNAcentral
CACUACGGCCUGGCCAGGGGCACGGCCAAGGGCGGCGCGCCGGCCGCACGCGUGGCCUCGUACAAGGUGUGCACCACGGACGCGUCCCCGGGCUCGGCGCUGCUCAAGGCCAUCGACGACGCCGUGAGCGACGGAGUGGACGUGAUCUCCAUCUCCAUCGGCAUGGGUGCUGCCUUCGCGGCGCCCAACCUCCUCUCCGCCCCCGUCGCGCUCGGCGCCUUCCACGCGCACCAGAGGGGCGUCCUCGUCGUCUGCUCCUCCGGCAACGACGGGCCCGACCCCUACACAGUCGCCAACUCCGCGCCGUGGAUCCUCGCCGUCGCCGCCUCCACCAUCGGCCGCGCCUUCCAGUCCAGCAUCGCCCUCGGCAACGGGAAAGUCGUCAAGGGAGUCGGCAUAAACUUCUCAAACCAGAGCCUCGGCGGCGAGCGCUACCCGAUGGUGUUUGGGGCCCAAGCGGCAGCCCGGAACACGACGGUGGCCGAGGCAAGCAACUGCAGUCCGGGAUCGCUGCGCGCGCGCAAGGUGGUCGGGAAGAUCUUGGUGUGCGUCGACACGGACUCUAUGGUGUCGCGGCAGAUAAAGAAGCUCGUCGCGGAGGACGCCGGGGGAGGGCUGGUCUUGAUCGACGCCACGGGCAUGGACGUGCCGUCCGACACCGGCAGCUUCCCCUUGUCCAUGGUGGGCUCCGACUUGGGCGCGCAUGUACUCCACUACAUUAACUCUACCAAGAAUCCGACGGCCGUGAUCCUCCCUACCGAGGACGUCAAGUUUUUCAAGCCUGCGCCCAUGGUGGCGUCCUUCUCGGCGCGCGGCCCUGCUCGUCUCACCGAAUCCAUCCUCAAGCCCGACCUGAUGGCUCCUGGAGUCAGCAUCCUCGCCGCUGCGAUGCCGCCCCGGCAAGAGGCGGACGUCCCCGCCGGCAAGAAGCCCUCGCCGUUUAUCAAGUCCGGCACUUCCAUGGCAUGCCCGCACGUCGCUGGCGCGGGCGCUUUCCUCAAGUCGGCCCACCUGGACUGGUCACCGUCCAUGAUCAGAUCAGCUCUCAUGACCACAGCGACGACGGGAAACAACCUCGGGCAGCCGGUGACGAACAGCAACGGCGCGGCGGCGACCGGACACGACAUGGGCGCCGGCGAGAUCAGCCCGCUUCGGGCGCUCAGCCCGGGCCUGGUGUUCGACACCACGACAAGCGACUACCUCACCUUCCUCUGCUACCACGGCUACAAGGACAAGCUCGUCCGCAAGGUCUCCGGCGACGCCAGAUUCUCCUGCCCCCGCGCGCGGCGCGCGUCCUCGGAGGACCUCAUCGCGGCGAACGUCAACUACCCGUCCAUCUCCGUGCCGCGGCUCGCGGCAGGGAAGCCUGUCGCCGUGUCGCGCACCGCCACGAACGUGGGGCCGUCCAAGUCCAACGUGACGUACGUGGCGUCCGUCGAGGCGCCGCCGGGCCUGUCCGUGAAGGUGUCACCCCAGCAGCUGCUGUUCUCGAGGCGGUGCACGACGGCGGCGUACGAGGUGCGCUUCGCCGGCGCCGGGGCCAGCAAGGGGUACGCGUACGGCGCCAUCACCUGGUCGGAUGGCGCGCACUCGGCCCGGACGCCUUUCGCGGUUAAUGUUGUGUGA